Molecule: small RNA, 292 nt
Filed under: Duganella sp. Leaf126
Lineage: Bacteria; Pseudomonadati; Pseudomonadota; Betaproteobacteria; Burkholderiales; Oxalobacteraceae
Description: 5' ureB small RNA
Rfam family: 5' ureB small RNA
Source: Rfam by way of RNAcentral
CUUCCUCGAUCUGCUGCGGGCAGAUGAAGUGGAUGUGGGUAUCGACGCCGCCGGCGGUGACGAUCUUGCCUUCGCCGGCGAUGAUCUCGGUGGCGGCGGCAAUGAUCAUGUCCACGCCGGGCUGGAUAUCGGGAUUGCCGGCCUUGCCGAUGGCGGCGAUCAUGCCGUCGCGCAGGCCGAUGUCGGCCUUGACGAUGCCCCAGUGAUCGACGAUGACGGCGUUGGUGAUCACCGUAUCCAUCACCAGCGGGUCGGUGCGGCAGCGCUGCGACUGGCCCAUGCCGUCGCGGAU